CUGGCGGCGCGUUUAAGCAUGCAAGUCGAGCGGUAAGCCGGAGCAAUCCGGCCUAGAGCGGCGGACGGGUGAGUAACACGUGGAUAAUCUGGCCUACAGUUUGGGAUAGCCUGGUGAAAGCCAGGAUAAUACCGGAUACGACGGUUUGGUCACAAGACUGAAUCGGGAAAGGGGCUAAGGCCUCGCUGAAGGAUGAGUCCGCGUCCCAUUAGCUAGAUGGUGAGGUAAAGGCCCACCAUGGCGAUGAUGGGUAGCCGGCCUAAGAGGGUGAACGGCCACAUUGGGACUGAGAUACGGCCCAGACUCCUACGGGAGGCAGCAGCUAAGAAUCUUCCGCAAUGGUCGAAAGACUGACGGAGCGACGCCGCGUGAAUGAAUGAAGGCCGUGAGGUUGUAAAGUUCUUUUCUGGAGGGAGAAUAAGUGUUGUAGGGAAUGACAACAUGAUGACGUGAAUCCAGGAAUAAGCCCCGGCUAACUACGUGCCAGCCGCCGC
This 494-nucleotide ribosomal RNA is filed under the name uncultured bacterium. RNAcentral's name for it is "bacterial SSU rRNA". It matches the Rfam family "Bacterial small subunit ribosomal RNA", at positions 36 to 518 of the family's 1533-position model. The record is from RNAcentral.